Molecule: ribosomal RNA, 652 nt
Filed under: uncultured bacterium
Lineage: Bacteria
Description: bacterial SSU rRNA
Rfam family: Bacterial small subunit ribosomal RNA
Source: RNAcentral
AGUCGAGCGAAGCACUCUGCUUUGAUUCCUUCGGGAUGAAGAGCAUUGUGACUGAGCGGCGGACGGGUGAGUAACGCGUGGGUAACCUGCCUCAUACAGGGGGAUAACAGUUAGAAAUGGCUGCUAAUACCGCAUAAGACCACAGCACCGCAUGGUGCAGGGGUAAAAACUCCGGUGGUAUGAGAUGGACCCGCGUCUGAUUAGCUAGUUGGUGGGGUAACGGCCUACCAAGGCGACGAUCAGUAGCCGACCUGAGAGGGUGACCGGCCACAUUGGGACUGAGACACGGCCCAAACUCCUACGGGAGGCAGCAGUGGGGAAUAUCGCACAAUGGGGGAAACCCUGAUGCAGCGACGCCGCGUGAGCGAAGAAGUAUUUCGGUAUGUAAAGCUCUAUCAGCAGGGAAGAAAAUGACGGUACCUGACUAAGAGGCCCCGGCUAACUACGUGCCAGCAGCCGCGGUAAUACGUAGGGGGCAAGCGUUAUCCGGAUUUACUGGGUGUAAAGGGAGCGUAGACGGCGAGGCAAGUCUGAUGUGAAAACCCGGGGCUCAACCCCGUGACUGCAUUGGAAACUGUUUUGCUUGAGUGCCGGAGAGGUAAGCGGAAUUCCUAGUGUAGCGGUGAAAUGCGUAGAUAUUAGGAGGAACACC